AAAAAAAAAAUCAGAUCAUAGUAAAAUGUAAUCCCUGCCAAUUGAUCACUGUAGUCAGUGAUCAAUUGGCAGGGAUUACAUUUUACUAUGAUCUGAUUUUUUUUUUUUUAACC
Molecule: microRNA precursor, 113 nt
Filed under: Pelobates cultripes (western spadefoot toad)
Lineage: Eukaryota; Metazoa; Chordata; Amphibia; Anura; Pelobatidae
Source: RNAcentral